Molecule: ribosomal RNA, 266 nt
Filed under: Armillaria cepistipes
Lineage: Eukaryota; Fungi; Basidiomycota; Agaricomycetes; Agaricales; Physalacriaceae
Also listed under: 1 other name
Description: partial 26S ribosomal RNA
Rfam family: Eukaryotic large subunit ribosomal RNA
Source: RNAcentral
UAAGUCAGAAUCCGUGCUAGAAACGAUGAUGUUGGUGUCGCACAUUAGACUUGUGUUUAAAUAGAGCUUUGCUCGUGAACCAAAUAUGGUGGGCUGGGUUGUCUUUGCGGAAACGCUUGGGCGACUUGUCUACGAAUUGUAAUCAUAAUAUGGGCGGCGGUGAAUCCUUUGCAGACGACUUGAAUGGGAACGGGGUACUGUAAGUGGUAGAGUAGCCUUGUUGCUACGAUCCACUGAGGUUAAGCCCUUGUUCUAAAGAUUUGUUC